RNAcentral lists this ribosomal RNA (413 nucleotides) under uncultured microorganism. RNAcentral describes it as "bacterial SSU rRNA". It matches the Rfam family "Archaeal small subunit ribosomal RNA", at positions 330 to 745 of the family's 1478-position model. The record is from RNAcentral.
GUGCACCAGGCGCGAAACCUCCGCAAUGCGGGAAACCGCGACGGGGGACCCCGAGUGCCGUGGCAACGCCACGGCUUUUCCGGAGUGUAAAAAGCUCCGGGAAUAAGGGCUGGGCAAGGCCGGUGGCAGCCGCCGCGGUAAUACCGGCGGCCCGAGUGGUGGCCGCUAUUAUUGGGCCUAAAGCGUCCGUAGCCGGGCCCGUAAGUCCCUGGCGAAAUCCCACGGCUCAACCGUGGGGCUUGCUGGGGAUACUGCGGGUCUUGGGACCGGGAGAGGCGGGGGGUACCCCUGGGGUAGGGGUGAAAUCCUAUAAUCCCAGGGGGACCGCCAGUGGCGAAGGCGCCCCGCUGGAACGGGUCCGACGGUGAGGGACGAAGGCCAGGGGAGCAAACCGGAUUAGAUACCCCCGUAGU